This 456-nucleotide long non-coding RNA is filed under the name Gossypium raimondii (Peruvian cotton). RNAcentral describes it as "long non-coding RNA (GRAI_LNC002650)". The record is from RNAcentral. Lineage: Eukaryota; Viridiplantae; Streptophyta; Magnoliopsida; Malvales; Malvaceae.
CUUCAACUAUUUUCUUCUUUUCCCAAACCAUUGUCGCCAUCGAUCCUUCCAAUCACCUCAAGUCCCUGUUCUCCAUUAAUUCAUCCCUUUGCUUGCCAACCAUUCCUCAUCGCUGGCCCCCUCAUCCUCUUUAUCCCUAACCAAAGUCCACUUACAACCUUUCUAACCGCUAUCGCCCCUCCUUACCUCACCCCACGCCGCUGAACUAUCUAAUUUCCUCCCCUCAUCCGCUUGUCGACCCACCCCCAAACCUACACGCUACCAUCAGUCGCCCCAACUUUAGACCAUGAAUUUUCACCUACGCCAUUCCUUACCUCCUCCUUUUCCCCAUUCACAAACCUCCUCUACUCCCUCCUCCCCUUAUUUCCGUUCAAAACUAAAACAUCUCUCCUUCCUUCACAAAGCGCCAAUCUACUUUCCUUUCUCCCUCUCCAGAAACCUCCCUUCCUCCUCAUU